This 205-nucleotide ribosomal RNA is filed under the name uncultured bacterium. RNAcentral's name for it is "partial 16S ribosomal RNA". It matches the Rfam family "Bacterial small subunit ribosomal RNA", at positions 1300 to 1500 of the family's 1533-position model. The record is from RNAcentral.
GCAGUCUGCAACUCGACUGCACGAAGCUGGAAUCGCUAGUAAUCGCGGAUCAGCACGCCGCGGUGAAUACGUUCCCGGGCCUUGUACACACCGCCCGUCACACCAUGGAAGUCUGCAAUGCCCGAAGCCGGUGGCCUAACCACUUAUGUGGAAGGAGCCGUCUAAGGCAGGGCAGAUGACUGGGGUGAAGUCGUAACAAGGUAAC